RNAcentral lists this ribosomal RNA (546 nucleotides) under Colletotrichum gloeosporioides. RNAcentral describes it as "eukaryotic LSU rRNA". The stretch from base 174 to 327 matches the Rfam family "5.8S ribosomal RNA". The record is from RNAcentral. Lineage: Eukaryota; Fungi; Ascomycota; Sordariomycetes; Glomerellales; Glomerellaceae.
GGGGCUCUGGGUAGCUCUACACCCUUUGUGACAUACCUACAACUGUUGCUUCGGCGGGUAGGGUCUCCGUGACCCUCCCGGCCUCCCGCCCCCGGGCGGGUCGGCGCCCGCCGGAGGAUAACCAAACUCUGAUUUAACGACGUUUCUUCUGAGUGGUACAAGCAAAUAAUCAAAACUUUUAACAACGGAUCUCUUGGUUCUGGCAUCGAUGAAGAACGCAGCGAAAUGCGAUAAGUAAUGUGAAUUGCAGAAUUCAGUGAAUCAUCGAAUCUUUGAACGCACAUUGCGCCCGCCAGCAUUCUGGCGGGCAUGCCUGUUCGAGCGUCAUUUCAACCCUCAAGCUCUGCUUGGUGUUGGGGCCCUACAGCUGAUGUAGGCCCUCAAAGGUAGUGGCGGACCCUCCCGGAGCCUCCUUUGCGUAGUAACUUUACGUCUCGCACUGGGAUCCGGAGGGACUCUUGCCGUAAAACCCCCAAUUUUCCACAGGUUGACCUCGGAUCAGGUAGGAAUACCCGCUGAACUUAAGCAUAUCAAUAAGCGGAGGAA